This 293-nucleotide ribosomal RNA is filed under the name uncultured Anaerolineaceae bacterium. Its description in RNAcentral is "partial 16S ribosomal RNA". It matches the Rfam family "Bacterial small subunit ribosomal RNA", at positions 1074 to 1382 of the family's 1533-position model. The record is from RNAcentral. Lineage: Bacteria; Bacillati; Chloroflexota; Anaerolineae; Anaerolineales; Anaerolineaceae.
UCGGUAAGUCCGCUAACGAGCGCAACCCUCGCUGUGUGUUACAAGUGUCACACGGAACUGCCGGUCAUAAACCGGAGGAAGGUGGGGAUGACGUCAAGUCAGCAUGGCCUUUAUAUCCUGGGCUACACACACGCUACAAUGGGGAGGGACAAUAGGUUGCGAAGCCGCGAGGCGGAGCCAAUCCAGCAAAACUUCCCUCAGUUCAGAUUGCAGGCUGCAACUCGCCUGCAUGAAGUUGGAGUUGCUAGUAAACGCAGGUCAGCCAUACUGCGUUGAAUACGUUCCCGGGGCUU